This 253-nucleotide ribosomal RNA is filed under the name uncultured bacterium. RNAcentral's name for it is "partial 16S ribosomal RNA". It matches the Rfam family "Bacterial small subunit ribosomal RNA", at positions 524 to 776 of the family's 1533-position model. The record is from RNAcentral.
UACGUAGGUGGCUAGCGUUGUCCGGAUUUACUGGGCGUAAAGAGCGCGCAGGCGGUCGUUCAAGUCGAGUGUGAAAGCCCCCGGCUCAACUGGGGAGGGUCACUCGAUACUGAUCGACUCGAAGGCAGGAGAGGGAAGCGGAAUUCCCGGUGUAGUGGUGAAAUGCGUAGAUAUCGGGAGGAACACCAGUGGCGAAGGCGGUUGCCUGGAGCUUUGCUGACGCUGAGGCGCGAAAGCGUGGGGAGCGAUCCGG